AAUUAUUGGGUUUGGUCAAGUCAUGGCGAGGGAUGUUCCACGAGUGUUCCCGUGAAUCAAAAUCGUGCUUCAAGCAGUGUUUUUCAGCCCGUUGUUGUUCCCGAAUAUUAUCAUCAGCAUUAUGAUCCGUUUAAUGAGAUGGACAAUAUGAUAACUAAUGCCCUUGGUUUUAAUACGCCGAUUUAUGUGCCAAAUGAUGUCGACGACCCU
This 210-nucleotide long non-coding RNA is filed under the name Trifolium pratense (red clover). Its description in RNAcentral is "long non-coding RNA (TPRA_LNC005402)". The record is from RNAcentral. Lineage: Eukaryota; Viridiplantae; Streptophyta; Magnoliopsida; Fabales; Fabaceae.